Long non-coding RNA from Homo sapiens (human), 1075 nucleotides. NCBI's taxonomy places the organism in Eukaryota, Metazoa, Chordata, Mammalia, Primates, Hominidae. The record is from Ensembl.
GGCGGCGGGUGGUGCAGGCUCGGCCCCAGCGCUGAGGGAGCACUGAGCCGACCCAAGGUCUGCAAGGAGUUCGCGGCACCCGCCCGCCCACGCCGGACCCGGAGGGCACGUCCGCCGGGAGGGGCAGUUCCCACGAGGAAAGUCCCAUUGAUGCGAGUUGGCAGUGUAGAGGAUGCUCCCCUCCGGCCGCCGCGGAAGCCGUCGUCCAAAUGCAGGCGAGCGGGGAGGAGGAGGCCGGGAUGCGGCCGGCGGGCCACCUGCUCUCGCCGGCCUGCCAGUCUCCUGCUUGCUCUGAAGCCCUGCCAUAGACGGCCCCGCUCCCCCGUGUAUCCACUGAAACAUUUUUUUAUAAAAACGCUGCGCACAGUUUUAGACUCCUUUCCUGGAAUCGCUUUGCUCCAACUAAGUUAACACGUAACAAAGUUUGUUUUCCAGCCUCGCCCUUGAUCUUCAGAAUGCCCCUCUCGGCUAGGAGGGCUUCUCCAAGUGGAAGUGGUUAGGCAGUUUUGUUUUUGGCCGCCAGGCGUAGGACGCGAGAAGGGGGUGCAGCGGCCGGGGACCAGGGCGGCGGUCCCCGCGGUGGGAUCGCGCCAGCGCCGGGAGGCCGGGGAGAGGGUGUUCUCUGCCGGGAGCCGAGGCGAGGCUGCUGGGUACUGUGUCCGGCUUUUAUGGCUCUGCAGCUCCUAGGAUCGUGGCUCAUGCAGGUGUUGUGGAUUAAUCUAUUUUAUGCAUAAGCCUAUUAACAUUAGGGAUUUUAAUUCUAGAAACUGCUUAGUUAAUACGUAUGUGUACACACACACACACACACACACACACACACACACACACACACACACACACACACACACACACACACACCUGGCCACUGACCCAGCAGCUUUCUCUUGAACUACAUUUACUUUAAAGAGAGGAGCGAUUUGUCCUCUCCAGUUCCUCAGCUCAUCUUUCUAUUCCAUGAGACUGAAAGUUAAUUAAAAGUGGAGAUCUAGCCUUAACCAGUUCUGUUUUCCCAGCUCCCAGUUAAUGCAAUAUCUGGCACAAAUAAGUAUUCAAUAAAUAUCUGUUGGAUGAGUAA